Long non-coding RNA from Oreochromis aureus, 644 nucleotides. Lineage: Eukaryota; Metazoa; Chordata; Actinopteri; Cichliformes; Cichlidae. The record is from Ensembl.
UGAUCAUUGAGAAGUUCACAUCUUCAGGGAUGUGAAGAAGAUAUAUUUUACUCACCUCCUGUGAUGACAAGCUGAAAAUCACAUGGUUGUAAACUUGUGUCCAGUGUGCACCUGUACAAUCCUGCAUCAGACUUGUUCAGCUGUGUGAUGCUCACAUGCACGUCCUUUGACAGUACAUUUGUUUUUCAUAUUUAAUGCUGUAUCUGCCCCUCUGAGCUGUGUUAUCAGCUGUUUCAAUGAGAACGUUUCCUUUUUCACAUUUGUCUUUGCAGAACAAUGUCUUACUUCCGGGGAUAUAAAAUUUACAUUCAGCAGUGAUGUUUCCUCCUUCCACUCCUUCAUAGACAAGAGUUUCAGCGUUGGCAAGUCCAGUGUUUCCAUCCUGCAGAACAAUGUCUUUCUUCCGGGGAUAUAAAAUUUACAUUCGACUGUGAUGUUUCCUCCUUCCACUCCAUAGACGAGAGUUUCAGCGUUGGCAAGUCCAGUGUUUCCAUCCUGCAGGUGGGAAUUCCUCUAUUGACUUGACCAGUGUUUCCAUCGUGCAGUGCUGUAGAAAUAAUGAACAAUCAAUAGUUAAUAUGUAUCCUGUAAUAUGUUGUUAAAAUAUAUUUGUGUACAUUUAAUUCAAUUGAAUUUAUUCACUU